UUACGGUCAAAUCACGCUGAAAACACCGGUUCUCGUUCGAUCACCGAAGUUAAGCAUCGUGAAAUUCAGUACUUAGAUGGGGACCGCUUGGGAACACCUGGUACU
RNAcentral lists this ribosomal RNA (105 nucleotides) under Acanthosepion pharaonis. The record is from RNAcentral. Lineage: Eukaryota; Metazoa; Mollusca; Cephalopoda; Sepiida; Sepiidae.